This 1067-nucleotide ribosomal RNA is filed under the name Salmonella enterica subsp. enterica serovar Stanley. RNAcentral's name for it is "partial 23S ribosomal RNA". It matches the Rfam family "Bacterial large subunit ribosomal RNA", at positions 163 to 1269 of the family's 2925-position model. Lineage: Bacteria; Pseudomonadati; Pseudomonadota; Gammaproteobacteria; Enterobacterales; Enterobacteriaceae. The record is from RNAcentral.
UCCAUAGGUUAAUGAGGCGAACCGGGGGAACUGAAACAUCUAAGUACCCCGAGGAAAAGAAAUCAACCGAGAUUCCCCCAGUAGCGGCGAGCGAACGGGGAGGAGCCCAGAGCCUGAAUCAGCAUGUGUGUUAGUGGAAGCGUCUGGAAAGUCGCGCGAUACAGGGUGACAGCCCCGUACACAAAAGCGCAUGUGUUGUGAGCUCGAUGAGUAGGGCGGGACACGUGGUAUCCUGUCUGAAUAUGGGGGGACCAUCCUCCAAGGCUAAAUACUCCUGACUGACCGAUAGUGAACCAGUACCGUGAGGGAAAGGCGAAAAGAACCCCGGCGAGGGGAGUGAAAAAGAACCUGAAACCGUGUACGUACAAGCAGUGGGAGCACCCUUCGGGGUGUGACUGCGUACCUUUUGUAUAAUGGGUCAGCGACUUAUAUUCUGUAGCAAGGUUAACCGAAUAGGGGAGCCGGAGGGAAACCGAGUCUUAAUUGGGCGUUAAGUUGCAGGGUAUAGACCCGAAACCCGGUGAUCUAGCCAUGGGCAGGUUGAAGGUUGGGUAACACUAACUGGAGGACCGAACCGACUAAUGUUGAAAAAUUAGCGGAUGACCUGUGGCUGGGGGUGAAAGGCCAAUCAAACCGGGAGAUAGCUGGUUCUCCCCGAAAGCUAUUUAGGUAGCGCCUCGUGAAUUCAUCUCCGGGGGUAGAGCACUGUUUCGGCUAGGGGGCCAUCCCGGCUUACCAACCCGAUGCAAACUGCGAAUACCGGAGAAUGUUAUCACGGGAGACACACGGCGGGUGCUAACGUCCGUCGUGAAGAGGGAAACAACCCAGACCGCCAGCUAAGGUCCCAAAGUCAUGGUUAAGUGGGAAACGAUGUGGGAAGGCCCAGACAGCCAGGAUGUUGGCUUAGAAGCAGCCAUCAUUUAAAGAAAGCGUAAUAGCUCACUGGUCGAGUCGGCCUGCGCGGAAGAUGUAACGGGGCUAAACCAUGCACCGAAGCUGCGGCAGCGACACUGUGUGUUGUUGGGUAGGGGAGCGUUCUGUAAGCCUGUGAAGGUGUGUCGUGAGGC